CUGAUAAAGGCUUUCAAGUCAGAGCUGCUGCUUGGUCUGUGUCUGUGGGAGCAGUCAACCUCUUCCCCUGCGUGGGAUGACUGGGGGCAAUAUGAGUGUCACACAUUGCCUGCACUCACAGCCCUGUUCUCAUCAGGUACAUUUUGUGUCAUCAAGACCAGAAGCUUCAGGAAUAAGGAGAUGUUAUUCUCAACUGACACACGGUGGAUUUGAGUGUUGGGAGACCGUCACCAGGAUCUCUUUCUGAAUCAUCUGGAAACCUCUACCUACAGCUCUGCACAGAAAGAACAUUUUGUAGAGUUGUCACAACUCACAGAGCCUUAUCCAAUCCAGAUGUGCUGGUAGGUGCACAGAAGUGUUUCAGUCUAUGACUGAUGUCCCAGACAUGGCAUUUGCAUGAGAUACCAACCCUGCAGAGGGCUAUGGAGGCUGCUCUACAUGUGCAGUAAGCUACAUCUUGUAUGUACAGCUUGACUAGAGGAGGAAGCACUAAAUUCUGGGAUUUUGAUCCAGUUUGUUUGGAGUCUCACCUUUCUACAGCUUCUCUGAGCAACUCCAAAGCCAUCACAGACACAGUUUUCUUUUAACUGUGAGUCCUGCUGCUUCCCAGACUCGGGUUCUCCAGAUCACUCUUCAGUAUCUCUGAGCAACCGAGACCCCACAUCAGUCCUGGGUGUGACUCUGCCCUUCAAGGAAGAGGGAAGACAGACAUGAAUAUGAAGACAGAAGGAUCUAACAGAGAUACUGAAGCCUUUGGGUCAGAUAAUGAAACUGAACUGGAGGAGAAUGGAUCUGCAGAAAUGUAGCCUUUGUUCUCAGCCAUUUUUGGACGUUUGGUCUUUCAUUAACCCACAUCCAAUAACCCAGUACAGAACCAAGGUGGUUCUUGUGCAAAGUGCACUGGUGGAAGGUUUGUGCUUUAAGUGUAAAAUGAAAUUCUGGGGCUGAUCCUCAGACUCCUUUGCUGGGUUUACCUCCUGUAUUUCUCUCCUGUAGCACCAAGACUUUGCCUCUUCUUGUUCCCACACAUGCCAGCAUGUUCACACUCUUUGUACAUCCAGGGGUGAGCUGCAGCUUUAUGGCAAAACUUACAAAUCAAGAUGUUAGACUGCUUUAUCACAUUUAAGUAUUAAGUAUUAAAUAUUUUCUGUUAUGAUGAAAGGGCCUUUUGUGUUCAUGGUUAAAACUGUCAGGGCUCAUUUUUCUAGAUCUGUGCAUUUAAUCUAAGCCAACUAGUAUACUUAUUCCUGAUGGGUACACUAAACAGAUUUCAGUACCUGCCUUGUCCUUUCUGUUAUGUAUUAAAAUUCUUACUCCCCUUUUUCAUUGAUAGCACUGUAAAUGUGAUCUGAUGAAUCUGUUGUCAAGAAGCUGUCAUUCUUUUCAGUUUUAUAUUUCUCAAAUGAAAAAAUGUUGGAAAUGAGAUUAUGUACUCACAAACACAUGCUCUUUUUCCCACUGUGCUUCUUUAUAUUAAGGCUGACUUUGACCAACCGACCUCAAGUCAGCAGAAAUCUUGCAUGUGUUCAUAUUCAGGCUUCAAGAGUUUGUUGGGGUUUUUUUCGUAUUAUUCUACCCUUGCAUUCUCUUAAAUAUCUAACUUUCAAGGAGUCAACAAUAUAAAUUAAAAAAUUUCUAUCUGACUUGAUUUAGUAUCUGAUUUAAUGUUUUUAUCAUAGAGAACAGUGUCCAAUAUUAAAAAGAUAUAAAGAUUUUGUCAUCUUAACUCUUUCUGAACUUGAAAAAGAUGAUUCUAUAUAACCUUUGCUGCUGUAUUAUAUCCACUAUUUGCAGUAAGCAUUGCCAAGUUUUAACAGAGUUCUUUUAAUGAACAUUCUUUAACUUCAGAUACACAGCUAUCCUGAUGACAGUCAUGUCUUGUCUUUGCAGAAGCAUUAUGAACAUCACCACCAAUUGUGUUUAACUUCACUGGUUAUUUUCCUUCUGUGCUCAUGCUACUUGUUUGCAGUAGAGGCUAUGACUUACUUCCAACAAUAUCUUUCACUCAGAAAUACUGGCAUAAAUCAUGCUGUCAGAAUGGAAAACAAGUUAAAAAAGUAGCUGUAGGAAUUUGCUGCUUUGUGAAAAACGCUGGGAGAAAAGUAUAAAGUUUUAAGAGUUACUAACUUGUGAAGUGAGAAAAAGAUCAGAUCCAGGAAAUGUGUCACAGUGAAAUAUGUAGACGUAUGGAAGAAGGACUGGACAUUCUUCCCAGAUAAACUUUCUGGAUAUUAAUGGCCACAUUUUUAGCAUUACAUGAUUAUUCCAUCCAGAUUUGGGACAGAAUCCAAGGAUUUUGUUGCACUGAGGUAUGCAUUUAAGUGACAUCUUGACCUGAGGCCAAAAUUUCGGGUCUCCUUUUAGGUGGCUUUGUGCAGUCAGGGGAGUUGUGCUCGUGCUGAGAUUGCUUGCCCUCCAAAAUGUGCUGUCACCCAGCUGCAAAUGCUCCCAGAUCCUCAUCCAGGAGCUCCUCUCCAAAAUAUACUGUACAUUAUACUAGAUAAGGGAAAGAAUUUCAGGGAUUUUUUUCAAACGAUUAAAGAAGUUGCAUCAUUGGUAAUACAUCAUCUCUAACACAGUGCUCCCUGCCAAAGAAAAUCCCACACAAUCACAUAAAGGCAACAAGCAAAGCAGCAGACAUGAGCAAACCCAGGAUUCCUGAAUCCCUGUGUUAGAAUGCUACUGUUGCCUAAAACAUAUACUUCACAUGAAAGACCCAGUACACUGAUCUACGCAUAAUUUAGACAUCUAAGCUGCUUGGCUACAAAUCCCCAAGGUUAGGCGGUGCAGGCUGCCAGGGCAGGAAAAAAAACAACAGGCACAAAAAGCAGACCCUUAGCCUGUGAUGUACUCAAUUCAAGGAUAGAAAGGGAAUGUGGGAAACAUCUUUUAAAUUUUAUUUUUGUCUAUAUGGGAAGUGAUACAAGUUUAUUUACUAAAAGAGUGUGAUACAAGAGAAAGGCACUUUCAGAGGUUUCAUGUGGUGCUGUAUGUUUAAUAACCCUUUUUAGAAUCCAUAUCCAAAUCCAUCACGGUCACUGUGGGUAAAACUUAUCUGAUGGUUGGACAUUUAGAUCUUCCAGUAAGUGGGAGCCCACAGUCAAACUCCCUCCUCAGCAGGAAGAAGGCAAAAUUUCAUCCUGCAGCCUCUCACAACAGCUGGGGUGUUGGCAGAUGUGCACCUUCUUACAUGCUGGGGCCAUACUACUGGGAAGGAGGGCACUUCUCCAUGCGCUGCACAGAGCAACUCUUUGGUCUUGUCUUUUUGGCGUUCAGCCCUAAGGCUCUCUACUCCUGAAAGAAUACUGUACUUACUUUCCUUCGGCACAGCACUACUAAGGAAUAGGUCUGGGAGAAUGACUAGAGAUACCAAGGCUGUCCUGAUCAACAUGGCCUAUGCAGCACAUAAUGAAGUGCUCUCUGCCCUGUGUUGCAGCUCCCACAGGAGGUAGAUGGAAGGCCCACGUAAACAUGUAGGCACACUGGUGUCUCUACCCUCCAAGGUAGACUAUAAGCCUCAAAAGGACUUUCAGAGGGGAUGUAGCUGAGCCCAAAGCUACAACUCAUGAAGAAAUACAUACCUUUGUUAUUCUGAUGGAUGUUGGUUUGGCAUAGCCUUAAAAUUCCCACAGUAAGAUAUAUUCUGCAGCCUCCCCAAGUAAUCCAGUACAGGACUUCAUUGCCUUACUGACAGAAACAUAUUCCCUUCUCUAACCAAAACCUUGUGGUAGUUUAAGCCCAUUGCUUCUUGUCCUGACCAUUAUGGACAAAAAGAAUGAAUUAUUCCCUCCUGGCUUACAGCAGCCUUAUUUAAUCUUUGAUACUUGUCAUAUUCUAGUCUCAAGUUUUCCUCCUUCAGAUUAACUCCUUCUCCUUCAGUCUUCUUUCCCUGUCCUGUUUUCCAGACCUCCUUCAAUCUCCAGAUGCACAGGUUCUGGUUGAUUCAUGUCUGUCUCAACGCAUUGCACCACUAUCAGUUCCACAGAGUCCUUGGACAAAGCUGAGAGGAGCAGAAAGUGUACUUAGUCUGGCAGUAAACUUGAUAAAGGUAGUCCAGUGAUGCUGAUCACUGUUCAUAUGUCAGUACAGCACUGGAUUGUCACAACUGAGUGCCAUAACUCUCAAGGAGCCUACACUCUACUAUGGCCUAAGGUCCUUUGCUGCAUGAGACCUAUCAAGCUAGUUGUUUUCCAGUUGUGUUUCAGCUGUUGUUUGACCUUAUCAUGAAAAACACACAGAACACAUAUUACUUAUAAAGUCAAAAAGCUCCAGAGAUAACAUAUAUUUUGUGAUUUCAUUAAAAAAAUAUUAGUUCAAAUCUUUUUUCCUUUUAACUUUGCUUAUCUUCUCAAUUUAUUUGAAAAGCCUGGUGAAGAUGCUACCUAAGUUUUACAUACGUGAUCCCAAUUCACUAAGAUUCUUUCCGGCAGAGUAUUGAGUUCAUCAUAAAUCUGUGUCCAGUGCUCAGAUCAAGUGUGCAAAAUAUACUUCAAAUUGGGACAAGGAGGAGCUGUUUGAGAUUCAUUAGGAACAAUCAGUGGACCUUUUCUUUAGUACAAGUUAUGCUGAAAGGCAACAAAAUAAUACGAAUCUCAAAUUUGGAUGUUUUUUCCAUUAACAUGGGGCAGAAGCAGUCUUGCUACUUGUCAUUACUAUAUUGAACAGUACACUUCAUCAGAAGGAUCUGCCAUAACUAGAACAAGAAUCAUGGACCCUCUUUUUUUACUGGCAGCAAAAAGAUCUUGUGUAUUUUUCUCUUGAAAAAAAAAAUGAAAGAAAAUCUAAAUUCAGAUUUUUUAUUUUGUUUACUUUUGUAUUUUAUGUUCAAGCAAUUUGAAAAUCAUUUUCCCACACUUUCUAUUCUGCUCCAGCUAAUCAAGUAAUCACUGUCCAUUAUUCCAAAACUUAAAACUAAACUUCCAUAAGAAAUCAAUGCAUCAUUUCAUUACCUUGAAUUACUAAAAUGUUUCAAAAUUCUACUCUGUGACUUAAUCACUUUCAAAUGCUUCUUCAAGAAAUUACUGAAAACAUGUUGCAGUUUUAUGAAGACAAGUAGAUAGUGAGAAAUAAGAAAUGCACAGAAUGUUUCAGUUAUAAUACAAAGAGAACUCAUUUAAUCCUGAAAUAAAGUUCUUCAUGACCAAGAAAUGUGCUUUUAUUAUUGCAUCUCAGUUUGCAUUCAGAAGUAUCAGUUAUAAAUAUACAGAUCUGAUUCAAGCACUAUCAGAGUUUAUUCAAUCGCUCAGAUGUUCAUUUAUAGUAUGCAAAUUACAAAAUAUUCAUUUUGCAAAAUGCAUUUAAAAUAAUUCUUAACCUUUGUAGUUAUCAAAAUUCCUACAUGAGUCUAUGCAUCCAAAUCUUUGACAAAUACUACCUUAGCAGAGGUAUUUCUGGUCUGUCUUUUAACUAAACUCACCUGAAUGUGCAGGUGUAUAGGACAUUCUCUUGAUGGUAACCAAGGCUGGUGCAUUGCUUUGUUCCAAAGUGUUGCGCAUUGGUUGUAUCGAAAAGAUUUAUGUACACUGUUUUCAGAGGGGUAUGCUUUGGGAUUACUGACGUCAGACUGCUACAAAAAAAACCCUUCAAAACUGAAGAGAUUUUAUGCACUUCAGUGCAUUUGAAUUUACUGAAAAGGCAUAAGCAUGAAGUGCAUAUGACACAAGGUCUAGAAAUCUCCCAUCCUGCUGCAUUUUGCCUUGAACCCAUGAAAUUACAGUUUUACAGCCAACAUAGCUUUAAACCAGACCUGGUUCAGAAUUUGGACCUGAAUGUGGCCUUCCAUAUUAAUGGAGAUUUGACACAUAUGUGUGCAAUCAUAAGCAACCCCCCUGAUAUCUCCUACAGCAAACCCUGUGGCAGCAUUAUUAUAACCGUACAUAGCUACAUAUAAGAUGUGGAAUCCAACCAGCAUCCAGAUUUGAGGAAUCAUCCAUAAAAGUUUCACAUAGCUAAAGUGAGCAGUCAACCCUCUCUUAAUAAAUUUAACGUUUUCACAGAUUCUCUGGUCAGUUUCACAGUAUAAAGUACUCUUUAAAGAGACAUGUACAUUUAUAUGCAUGUACACAGGUCACCUGGAAAACAUCCAAAACCUUUCCUUAGAGCAGUCAAACACAAAUUUCUAGAUGUAUUAAGCAAGAUCCUUGUGCUGUAAUAAUGAUAUUUCUUGCAGUGCUGCAGAUUUAUGUUGUGUAGCAGUGGGUUCAGCAGAAUUUCAAACCUGCAAAUAUGUCAUAAGAUAAGCAUGUCAGAGGCUGUGGGGAUGUCAGGUAAUUUGACUUGUACAUCUAUCUUUGUUCUGGCAUCUGCCCAUUUGUGACAUACACAGAUGAUAUAGCUUAGGGAGUACAGAAGACCUGACUGUUACUGGUACUUGUUAAAGUGAGAUAUAAAAUGGUAAAUAUUAUCUAUCUCCUUGAUUUAGAGAAGUCAGACCAUAUAUUUUUGGAAGGAUGAAACACUAUCUGAUGUGGUACAUGACAUUUGUAUCUGAUACAUGAUCAAAUCCAAACGUAAGUAAAAACACUACAAGUCUGCUUUACUCCAUUGCUUCUAACAAAAAGAUGCUUAACAGUGGUACAAGGAAAGAUAUGUUAGGAAAAAUGUCAGUCUGAAAAAGAACAUUCUGCAUUAGUCAACCUGUUAUCCUUUUCCCCUAUUGAUGAGUGUCAUCUUAGCUUUCAAGUCUUGCCAUAGUCCAGCAGAUAUGUCUAGUGUCUAUCAGCCCUAGAUGUUCAGAACCUGAAUCCUACCCUAAUUGCUUAUGAUACCCACCAGUUUGUAGUGACAGCCCUAUGGUUACAACAUGGUUGUGGUUGAAGACCUACCAUGACACAAGGAAGAGCUGGUGCUGCAGGACUGAUCCAUCUCAGUCUCUGGAGGAUAGUGAACACAGCCCAGCCUCCUGAUGGUCAUUGCUUUUACCACAGGGGUGUAAACACCUCAGGCAACA
Non-coding RNA from Meleagris gallopavo (turkey), 6949 nucleotides. Lineage: Eukaryota; Metazoa; Chordata; Aves; Galliformes; Phasianidae. The record is from RefSeq and is a predicted model, not a curated record.